AUUGAACGCUGGCGGCAGGCCUAACACAUGCAAGUCGAGCGGAUGAAGGGAGCUUGCUCCUGGAUUCAGCGGCGGACGGGUGAGUAAUGCCUAGGAAUCUGCCUGGUAGUGGGGGAUAACGUCCGGAAACGGGCGCUAAUACCGCAUACGUCCUGAGGGAGAAAGUGGGGGAUCUUCGGACCUCACGCUAUCAGAUGAGCCUAGGUCGGAUUAGCUAGUUGGUGGGGUAAAGGCCUACCAAGGCGACGAUCCGUAACUGGUCUGAGAGGAUGAUCAGUCACACUGGAACUGAGACACGGUCCAGACUCCUACGGGAGGCAGCAGUGGGGAAUAUUGGACAAUGGGCGAAAGCCUGAUCCAGCCAUGCCGCGUGUGUGAAGAAGGUCUUCGGAUUGUAAAGCACUUUAAGUUGGGAGGAACGGCAGUAAGUUAAUACCUUGCUGUUUUGACGGUACCAACAGAAUAAGCACCGGCUAACUACGUG
RNAcentral lists this ribosomal RNA (484 nucleotides) under uncultured bacterium. RNAcentral's name for it is "partial 16S ribosomal RNA". It matches the Rfam family "Bacterial small subunit ribosomal RNA", at positions 30 to 507 of the family's 1533-position model. The record is from RNAcentral.